Molecule: transfer RNA, 67 nt
Filed under: Taenia arctos
Lineage: Eukaryota; Metazoa; Platyhelminthes; Cestoda; Cyclophyllidea; Taeniidae
Description: tRNA-Gln
Source: RNAcentral
UUUAAUGUAGUGUAAUUUGUGUGCAUUUUACAUUUUGGUUGUGAAGGUGAUUAGUAAUCCAUUAAAU